RNAcentral lists this ribosomal RNA (746 nucleotides) under uncultured bacterium. RNAcentral describes it as "bacterial SSU rRNA". It matches the Rfam family "Bacterial small subunit ribosomal RNA", at positions 34 to 762 of the family's 1533-position model. The record is from RNAcentral.
CGCUGGCGGCGUGCCUAAUACAUGCAAGUCGAGCGAACGGACGAGAAGCUUGCUUCUCUGAUGUUAGCGGCGGACGGGUGAGUAACACGUGGAUAACCUACCUAUAAGACUGGGAUAACUUCGGGAAACCGGAGCUAAUACCGGAUAAUAUUUUGAACCGCAUGGUUCAAAAGUGAAAGACGGUCCUGCUGUCACUUAUAGAUGGAUCCGCGCUGCAUUAGCUAGUUGGUAAGGUAACGGCUUACCAAGGCAACGAUGCAUAGCCGACCUGAGAGGGUGAUCGGCCACACUGGAACUGAGACACGGUCCAGACUCCUACGGGAGGCAGCAGUAGGGAAUCUUCCGCAAUGGGCGAAAGCCUGACGGAGCAACGCCGCGUGAGUGAUGAAGGUCUUCGGAUCGUAAAACUCUGUUAUUAGGGAAGAACAUAUGUGUAAGUAACUGUGCACAUCUUGACGGUACCUAAUCAGAAAGCCACGGCUAACUACGUGCCAGCAGCCGCGGUAAUACGUAGGUGGCAAGCGUUAUCCGGAAUUAUUGGGCGUAAAGCGCGCGUAGGCGGUUUUUUAAGUCUGAUGUGAAAGCCCACGGCUCAACCGUGGAGGGUCAUUGGAAACUGGAAAACUUGAGUGCAGAAGAGGAAAGUGGAAUUCCAUGUGUAGCGGUGAAAUGCGCAGAGAUAUGGAGGAACACCAGAGGCGAAGGCGACUUUCUGGUCUGUAACUGACGCUGAUGUGCGAAGGCGU